Molecule: long non-coding RNA, 204 nt
Filed under: Lathyrus oleraceus (garden pea)
Lineage: Eukaryota; Viridiplantae; Streptophyta; Magnoliopsida; Fabales; Fabaceae
Description: Pisum sativum (pea) long non-coding RNA (PSAT_LNC029108)
Source: RNAcentral
UGAAAAUCAAAGAAAUAAAAACUAAAAUCAAAAAAUAAAAAAAACGUGGACCACUUGAUCUCCCUCAUUAAUUAAGGUGGCAUAUCAAGUGGUCUGAAACGCGCAAUCAACGAUGGAGUUAAGCCAGCGUGCUACACAAGUGGUAAUCAAAACCAACGCUCGUGAUUAAAACAAUUUAAAUAGAUCAUGUGGCUCUAGACCUUG